RNAcentral lists this ribosomal RNA (468 nucleotides) under uncultured bacterium. RNAcentral describes it as "partial 16S ribosomal RNA". It matches the Rfam family "Bacterial small subunit ribosomal RNA", at positions 28 to 507 of the family's 1533-position model. The record is from RNAcentral.
GACGAACGCUGGCGGCGUGCUUAACACAUGCCAGUCGAACGGAAAGGCCCUGCUUUUGUGGGGUGCUCGAGUGGCGAACGGGUGAGUAACACGUGAGUAACCUGCCCUUGACUUUGGGAUAACUUCAGGAAACUGGGGCUAAUACCGGAUAGGAGCUCCUGCUGCAUGGUGGGGGUUGGAAAGUUUCGGCGGUUGUGGAUGGACUCGCGGCUUAUCAGCUUGUUGGUGGGGUAGUGGCUUACCAAGGCUUUGACGGGUAGCCGGCCUGAGAGGGUGACCGGCCACAUUGGGACUGAGAUACGGCCCAGACUCCUACGGGAGGCAGCAGUGGGGAAUAUUGCACAAUGGGCGGAAGCCUGAUGCAGCAACGCCGCGUGCGGGAUGACGGCCUUCGGGUUGUAAACCGCUUUCGCCUGUGACGAAGCGUGAGUGACGGUAAUGGGUAAAGAAGCACCGGCUAACUACGUG